AACGAACGCUGGCGGCAGGCCUAACACAUGCAAGUCGAGCGAGGACUUCGGUCCUAGCGGCGGACGGGUGAGUAACGCGUGGGAACGUGCCCUUUGCUUCGGAAUAGCCCUGGGAAACUGGGAGUAAUACCGGAUGAGCCCUUUGGGGAAAGAUUUUUCGGCGAAGGAUCGGCCCGCGUUGGAUUAGGUAGUUGGUGGGGUAAUGGCCUACCAAGCCGACGAUCCAUAGCUGGUUUGAGAGGAUGAUCAGCCACACUGGGACUGAGACACGGCCCAGACUCCUACGGGAGGCAGCAGUGGGGAAUCUUAGACAAUGGGGGAAACCCUGAUCUAGCCAUGCCGCGUGAGCGAUGAAGGCCUUAGGGUUGUAAAGCUCUUUCAGCUGGGAAGAUAAUGACGGUACCAGCAGAAGAAGCCCCGGCUAACUCCGUG
RNAcentral lists this ribosomal RNA (432 nucleotides) under uncultured bacterium. Its description in RNAcentral is "partial 16S ribosomal RNA". It matches the Rfam family "Bacterial small subunit ribosomal RNA", at positions 29 to 507 of the family's 1533-position model. The record is from RNAcentral.